AACCUGCAUUACAAUGUUCAGCUCAUUACAAGUCAUGACAAAGCCCCGUUGGAACCAAAGAGGACUGACGCUCUUUAUAUGCCCAGAAGCUGUUCCCAUUAGUUGUCUUUCCCUGCAACAGGCCAGUGCUAACAUAACCAGAGAAUGAAACUUUGAAGAUUCUAGGGAUUUCAUUUUUUGUGUAUUGAGGAGACGGGAGACAUGUGUGUGAUUGCGGAGGUCACGGCACAGCACGUGGAGAAGGCACAAGAGCAAAAGACCACAAGAGCCUCACGAUUACUGUGUGGCUCAGUCAUACCAGGGUUAACUCAUCAGCUCUGAAGUCUUGGUGGCUCAACCAAUGCUUUUCCCUCUCCUGCUGUAUUCCAAUAUAGUUUUGUGUGUGGAGAGAGGUGGUAUGAGAUGUUUCUAACCAUGGAAAUAACCAACAUGGCCGCUACCAUAUGGAAAAAACACAGACGAGGAACUCACACCUCUUCUGUGCUUUGACCUAAAAGUGACCCAUGCCAGUUCUGCUCACAACCCAUUGUCCAGAGCCAGUCACAUGCUCUGCUGUAUUCAAAGAGGGCUGGGACAUGAACAUUUGACAAACACUACAAUUCUGUCCUAAUCAAGCAGAGAAAGAGUCCAACCCAAGACUCUUCAAUUCCCACUCAUGUCAAUUAAAAUAAUUUGGAAAUAAAUAUUAAGCGGAGACAACUCUAUUUUUAAAUUAAAUGCAAGAUGAAUUAACUUUUGGUCACCCAAUCUCCCUCCUUUUAAGUACUGGUUUACUCUGACUAGCUUUUGAUUCUAUAUAUCAGUUCAGGUGUCAGUUUGAGUGGAAAGUAUUAUUAUUCUCUAUACAAGAAAAUUCAACUAUUGGAGCCAUAGUUCACCUGAGUCACAAUGGAAAAUGGUAUCAUUUUGAAUGAAUAUGAAUGAAUUCUUCCAUAGAUCCGUUGCCAAAGUAAACUGGAGUUUGGCUGUGUAAUAGGUCAGUUGUCUCUCAAAUGGAUGCAUGCAUAUUUAAUAUACAGAUUGAUAUUUACUCAUUCAUUAGAUCUGCACAUCAGUGUCUCUCAUCAUAUAUGAUUUGAGAAGAAAUCCUAGAAAAAGAGCGGGACCUCCAUAUCAGGGAGAGGUUGAGGAUGAUGACAUUGUUUAUUUAUUUGCAUUCUGUUACGUCUUCUAAAUGAGAACAUGUUCAAGUUUAUAUGGAUUUGAACAAAUUUGUUUUUUCUUAGACUUUCUAUUUUCUGCUUACAUCAUCCAUGUUUUCUUGCAUGUUGUCCACCUUUUCCAUUAGAGCCUUUAACAUAUUGUACUAUUUUUAAAUUCUCUGACAGUUCCAAACACUAGGUCAUAGCUUAGUCUGGUUCUGAUGAUUAUUUUGUCUCUUGAGCCUGUGUUGUAUUUUUUUUUCACUGCCUUUUAGUAUGCCUGGAAUUGCUUUUUA
Molecule: long non-coding RNA, 1438 nt
Organism: Leopardus geoffroyi (Geoffroy's cat)
Lineage: Eukaryota; Metazoa; Chordata; Mammalia; Carnivora; Felidae
Exons: 3
Source: RefSeq, a predicted model, not a curated record